AUUGAACGCUGGCGGCAGGCCUAACACAUGCAAGUCGAACGGUAACAGGAAGAAGCUUGCUUCUUUGCUGACGAGUGGCGGACGGGUGAGUAAUGUCUGGGAAACUGCCUGAUGGAGGGGGAUAACUACUGGAAACGGUAGCUAAUACCGCAUAACGUCGCAAGACCAAAGAGGGGGAUCUUCGGGCCUCUUGCCAUCGGAUGUGCCCAGAUGGGAUUAGCUAGUAGGUGGGGUAACGGCUCACCUAGGCGACGAUCCCUAGCUGGUCUGAGAGGAUGACCAGCCACACUGGAACUGAGACACGGUCCAGACUCCUACGGGAGGCAGCAGUGGGGAAUAUUGCACAAUGGGCGCAAGCCUGAUGCAGCCAUGCCGCGUGUAUGAAGAAGGCCUUCGGGUUGUAAAGUACUUUCAGCGGGGAGGAAGGGAGUAAAGUUAAUACCUUUGCUCAUUGACGUUACCCGCAGAAGAAGCACCGGCUAACUCCGUG
This 490-nucleotide ribosomal RNA is filed under the name uncultured bacterium. RNAcentral describes it as "partial 16S ribosomal RNA". It matches the Rfam family "Bacterial small subunit ribosomal RNA", at positions 30 to 507 of the family's 1533-position model. The record is from RNAcentral.